Molecule: ribosomal RNA, 1763 nt
Filed under: Proteus mirabilis
Lineage: Bacteria; Pseudomonadati; Pseudomonadota; Gammaproteobacteria; Enterobacterales; Morganellaceae
Description: bacterial LSU rRNA
Rfam family: Bacterial large subunit ribosomal RNA
Source: RNAcentral
UGCGGCAGCGACACAAUGUGUUGUUGGGUAGGGGAGCGUUCUGUAAGCCUGCGAAGGUGUACUGUGAGGUAUGCUGGAGGUAUCAGAAGUGCGAAUGCUGACAUAAGUAACGAUAAUGCGGGUGAAAAACCCGCACGCCGGAAGACCAAGGGUUCCUGUCCAACGUUAAUCGGGGCAGGGUGAGUCGACCCCUAAGGCGAGGCUGAAAAGCGUAGUCGAUGGGAAACGGGUUAAUAUUCCCGUACUGGUGGUAACUGCGAUGGGGGAACGGAGAAGGCUAGGUUGUCCGGGCGACGGUCGUCCCGGUUCAAGCAGGUAGGCAGAGUGAUUAGGCAAAUCCGGUCACUUAAUGCUGAGAUGUGAUGACGAACCACCAAGGUGGUGAAGCAAUUGAUGCCCCGCUUCCAGGAAAAGCCUCUAAGCUUCAGGUUACCAACAAUCGUACCCCAAACCGACACAGGUGGUCAGGUAGAGAAUACUCAGGCGCUUGAGAGAACUCGGGUGAAGGAACUAGGCAAAAUGGUGCCGUAACUUCGGGAGAAGGCACGCUGGCGGUAGGUAAAGUCCCUCGCGGACAGAGCUGAAGCCAGUCGAAGAUACCAGCUGGCUGCAACUGUUUAUUAAAAACACAGCACUGUGCAAACACGAAAGUGGACGUAUACGGUGUGACGCCUGCCCGGUGCUGGAAGGUUAAUUGAUGGGGUUAGCGCAAGCGAAGCUCCUGAUCGAAGCCCCAGUAAACGGCGGCCGUAACUAUAACGGUCCUAAGGUAGCGAAAUUCCUUGUCGGGUAAGUUCCGACCUGCACGAAUGGCGUAAUGAUGGCCAGGCUGUCUCCACCCGAGACUCAGUGAAAUUGAACUCGCUGUGAAGAUGCAGUGUACCCGCGGCAAGACGGAAAGACCCCGUGAACCUUUACUAUAGCUUGACACUGAACAUUGAGCCUUGAUGUGUAGGAUAGGUGGGAGGCUUUGAAGUGUGGACGCCAGUCUGCAUGGAGCCAACCUUGAAAUACCACCCUUUAACGUUUGAUGUUCUAACCUAGGCCCGUGAAUCCGGGUCGGGGACCGUGUCUGGUGGGUAGUUUGACUGGGGCGGUCUCCUCCUAAAGAGUAACGGAGGAGCACGAAGGUUGGCUAAGCAUGGUCGGACAUCAUGCGGUUAGUGCAAAGGCAUAAGCCAGCUUGACUGCGAGAGUGACGGCUCGAGCAGGUACGAAAGUAGGUCUUAGUGAUCCGGUGGUUCUGAAUGGAAGGGCCAUCGCUCAACGGAUAAAAGGUACUCCGGGGAUAACAGGCUGAUACCGCCCAAGAGUUCAUAUCGACGGCGGUGUUUGGCACCUCGAUGUCGGCUCAUCACAUCCUGGGGCUGAAGUAGGUCCCAAGGGUAUGGCUGUUCGCCAUUUAAAGUGGUACGCGAGCUGGGUUUAGAACGUCGUGAGACAGUUCGGUCCCUAUCUGCCGUGGGCGUUGGAAGAUUGAGAGGGGUUGCUCCUAGUACGAGAGGACCGGAGUGAACGCACCACUGGUGUUCGGGUUGUCAUGCCAAUGGCAUUGCCCGGUAGCUAAGUGCGGAAGAGAUAACCGCUGAAAGCAUCUAAGCGGGAAACUUGCCUCGAGAUGAGUCUUCCCUGUCGCUUUAAGCGACCUAAAGGAACGUUUAAGACGAAGACGUUGAUAGGCUGGGUGUGUAAGCGUAGCGAUACGUUGAGCUAACCAGUACUAAUGAACCGUGAGGCUUAACCUGACAACACCGAAGGUGUUU